CACUGAGAAGCUUUGUAUAGCAUUAACCUUUUAAGUUGAAGAAGAAACCACUUUCCUCAGUGA
RNAcentral lists this transfer RNA (63 nucleotides) under Elaphe quatuorlineata (Four-lined ratsnake). RNAcentral's name for it is "tRNA-Lys". RNAcentral also lists the same sequence under 3 other names. The record is from RNAcentral. Lineage: Eukaryota; Metazoa; Chordata; Lepidosauria; Squamata; Colubridae.